UGCCCAGCAACUCCUAUCCCUACCUCCUCGUGGUACUGGCCGGGGUACGAGUAACCUUGGGGAAGAUCGGGUAACCAACCCCCGGUGGGUCGUAUGCUGACAGGGAAGG
Molecule: non-coding RNA, 109 nt
Organism: Aedes aegypti (yellow fever mosquito)
Lineage: Eukaryota; Metazoa; Arthropoda; Insecta; Diptera; Culicidae
Source: Rfam